This 354-nucleotide ribosomal RNA is filed under the name Triticum aestivum (bread wheat). RNAcentral describes it as "partial small subunit ribosomal RNA". The record is from RNAcentral. Lineage: Eukaryota; Viridiplantae; Streptophyta; Magnoliopsida; Poales; Poaceae.
AUGCGACGAGUGAGUAGAAGAAACGAUAGGAGAGGACGGCGUCGGAUCUGCAACAGCAGGAUGAGGAGUAGGAAUACUGGGCAGAGAGGGAGGUGUAUCUGGAAAAGUAAGAAAAGAGAUGUCCUCCGUAGAAAAAGCCGAGGAGGAUGGACGCGAGUAGAAGGGAUGAGAUUCAUCAAAGGUCACAUCCCGGGAAAUACGCAUCCGGCGACCGACAGGAUCCCAACACCGAUAGCCCUUAUGCUCAUCACUAUAUCCAAGAAAGACACACUCAACAGACUGAGCGGUCAGUUUGGUGCGUUCACAAGGGGCAAGCAAAACAUAGCAGACACAACCAAACAAACGGAGCGCUGA